This 1374-nucleotide long non-coding RNA is filed under the name Callithrix jacchus (white-tufted-ear marmoset). RNAcentral describes it as "lncRNA (ENSCJAG00000080688.1)". Lineage: Eukaryota; Metazoa; Chordata; Mammalia; Primates; Cebidae. The record is from RNAcentral.
CUGGCCUGGUCUCUCAAAGCCUGGAAAUACUUUCAGCAUUCUCUAAACUCAAAGAAGAGUCCUAGCUCUCUGUAUAUUUUGCCCGUAGACUAUCGAUAAUUACUCUCUGCACAUCAUAGACAGUUCCUUUUUAGGGAUCUGGUCACUAGUUCCAAAUCCCCCUUCCUCUCUCUUUUAAAAAAAAGAAACGCAAACAGGGUUGCUCUUAAUUUUCAGGUAAGGGGAUCCUAUUGGCUGACGAACGGGGCAAGAAUAUCAAAGGCUGAUGCAGGUAAAAUAAUAUAAUAUCCCAGCACUUUGGGAGGCCUAGGCGGGUGGAUCACGAGGCCAAGAGAUCAAGACCAUCCUGAUCAACAAGGUGAAACCCUGUCUCUACUAAAAAUACAAAAAUUAGCUGCGCACGGUGGUACAUGACUGUAACCCCAGCUACUCGGGAGGCUGAGGCAGGAGAAUUGCUUGAACCCAGAAGGAGGAGGUUGCGGUGAGCCGAGAUCGUGCCAUUGCACUCCAGUCUGGGUAACAACAGCGAAACUCCGUCUCAAUAAAUAAAUAAAUAAAUAAUGUAAUAAAUAAUAUAAAAAACAUGAAGCUGCCUUAGAGAUUAAUGUGAUUGUUAUCUAAGGGGUUGUCUCCUGAUAAUAGUUUUAUUAACUUCUUAUUUGUCAAUAGCCUCUCUCCAGCCAGCAGUUAAGGUCUUUGAGAGCAGGGGAUUUUGACUUGUUUGUAUUCCCCACAGUGACCAGAAAACUGUCUUACAAAUAUACAUAAUAAUAUUCUGUUGAUUUUCUUCAAAGUAAUAGCAUCAGGCAGAGUUUAGUAGCUGUCAGUUUUGGGAAAAAUUGAAAGAAUGCCUGUGCAUAAUGAAGGUCAUCCCCCCAAUACACAUUCAGGGCAGGGAGGGAAGAAAGGGUUGAACUCUGCAAAUGUUUAAUUUGUGUCAGGAUCGGGUAGCCUCUAUCAAUGUAAUUUAAUGCAAAGUCAGAUUGGUGUCUGAACACUGAAUAAUUCAUACAUAGCUUACAUAAAUAUGCUUCUAUUUGUGCCACCUCAUUCACAUUUAGUCUAACUUGAGUUUUGGUCUUUAACCCUUAAAAAGAUGCCUCUCAAAUUAAGCAUAAAUAUGUUAUUUCCAUAGGAAAAGAUUUGCCAUGUCAUCUUGUGAUCGUACAUUUAGCUAGAUUGUAUAUCGGUGACUGAAUGUGUUCAACAAUAUCAUUGCUUUAUAGUUAUCUUAUAUAACCUUUAUAUAAUAAAUUAGAGGCAAUUUGCUGCUGACCUGGGAAGAAAUAAAAAUGAUGUUUAUUACAAAAAGUCUUGUAAUGUUUAAAAAUAUUUCCUGUCUACAUUCUCCCCAUUCUAAGAUCUUAAUUGAGA